CACUAAACAGUUGCAUAGCAUAGUUGAGGUCACCCCCAGGAACGAUUAAGAUUGACACUUAGCAUGUGAAAAUCCGAUCAUUAGAACAAAAGUUAUUCAGGGUGAUAUCUUUUUUUUUCUGCCCACUGUGCAUAGUAGUAGAGGUCAAUCUGUAUUUGUCAUACAUCUCCUUCAUAUAUCACUGUUAUAAAUAGUUAAUGUCAACAAGUCAAUAAAUAAUUUUGUUAGUGUUUAAUUGCUAAGCUUAAAACUAAUGUGCUUUAAUAUUUUUCUGCAGGAAAUAUUGAUGCGAGAGAUAUUGUUGAUGGGAACAGGGAGAAAACUCUUAGCUUGCUAUGGCAAAUCAUAUUCAAAACUCAGAUUUCUAAAUUGCUGAACAAAGAAAUACUGAUGAAAGAAAAUGCUUACCUGAAGCGUCUUUUGCAAUUAAAGGCUGAUUAUGCUGCAUUCAGUGCCUUUGAGGAAUCUAAACCAGAAAAUUGUGAUUUGUCUU
Molecule: non-coding RNA, 493 nt
Organism: Parasteatoda tepidariorum (common house spider)
Lineage: Eukaryota; Metazoa; Arthropoda; Arachnida; Araneae; Theridiidae
Source: RefSeq, a predicted model, not a curated record